Molecule: ribosomal RNA, 661 nt
Filed under: uncultured Actinomycetes bacterium
Lineage: Bacteria; Bacillati; Actinomycetota; Actinomycetes
Description: bacterial SSU rRNA
Rfam family: Bacterial small subunit ribosomal RNA
Source: RNAcentral
GACGAACGCUGACGGUGUGCUUUAGACAUGCAAGUCGAACGAGAAAGCCCUUCGGGGUGAGUAGAGUGGCGAACGGGUGAGUAACACGUGGGCAACCUGCCCCUCGCAGGGGGAUAACCGGAGGAAACUCCGGCUAAUACCCCGUAAGCUUUCAGGGUCGCAUGGCCCUGUAAGGAAAGGUAGCUUCGGCCAUCCGGCGAGGGAUGGGCCCGCGGUGCAUUAGCUAGUUGGUGGGGUAAAGGCCCACCAAGGCGACGAUGCGUAGCUGGUCUGAGAGGAUGAUCAGCCACACUGGGACUGAGACACGGCGGCCACUCCUACGGGAGGCAGCAGCCAGGAAUCUUGGGCAAUGGGCGAAAGCCUGACCCAGCAACACCGUGUGGGCGAUGAAGGCCUUCGGGUCGUAAAGCCCUGUUGAUGGGGACGAAGGGCGAAGGGUUAAUAGCCCCUAGCCUGACGGUACCUUUCGAGGAAGCCCCGGCUAACUACGUGCCAGCAGCCGCGGUAAUACGUAGGGGGCGAGCGUUGUCCGGAAUUAUUGGGCGUAAAGAGCGUGUAGGCGGUUCGGUAAGUCUGCCGUGAAAACCUGAGGCUCAACCUCGGGCGUGCGGUGGAUACUGCCGGGCUAGAGGACGGUAGAGGCGAGUGGAAUUCCCGGUGU